Molecule: long non-coding RNA, 1952 nt
Organism: Culex pipiens pallens (northern house mosquito)
Lineage: Eukaryota; Metazoa; Arthropoda; Insecta; Diptera; Culicidae
Exons: 2
Source: RefSeq, a predicted model, not a curated record
UCCCAAUAUAUUUUAUUCUGUGUUUGAUCGUUGUUGCUGAUGUUGUUUGUUCGUUUGUUUGUUGUUUACUUUUCGCUUCCAACUUAUCUGUGUUGAUUGCUACUUUUUUCUGUUUUGUUUUCCGAGUGUUUUUUCUUCCUCCUAUUUUUUCUGGUGUGUGUUUAUGUUGAUUUUGCUUUGUUUCUGAUUUAAGUUUGAGAAAUCGAUUAUCAAUUGGACAACCCAAGUUUUUCUGUGUGUGUAAUGUUGUGUGCUGUCAAGUUUUGUUUGUUUUUUUUUUCUUUUCUUUUUUAAGUUUACCAAUACUGUAGUGCUUCUAAUCGCCUCUUGUAUCGAUUGGUCAAACCUUAUGGUUUUUAUGCGUUAUGAUUAUUACUUGAUUUAUACUUUGGUUACCAAAUCCGACAACGGCUUGAUUACAUUCCACCAUUUUGACACGUGCAAGAGAUGCGCGCGUCGAAAGGAGUAAACAAUAGUCCAAAAGUGUGCCCAAAAUAGGAACAAACAUUGCUCGUCUAACAUUUUCCAAACCCCUCCUCAUAACCAUAACCCAAAAAAAAACAAAAGUAUCUCAUUCUGUCACCAUUGGUAACGUCUCGCUUUUCAUUUCGCCUAACCAAAUAACAAAAAAAAAAAUCAAAACCCAAACAAAAAAAACGAACCAUCCAGAUCGUCUAGCCCGGAGAUAUCCGUUACGUACGUAACGAUUGCGAUUUCGACGCACAUGAAAGUCGAAAAAUACAGAACUAUGCAUGCCCUUGGAACAAUAAUCCGGUGUAAGUAAAAACGCACACACACUACCAAUGGUGACUUGUGUACUCUGUUGUGUUGUGAUCGAUCGCGCGCACACACACACACAAGUUCGAUCAAAGCAAACCUCAAAAAGACACGCAUGGAGACCGAAACGUCAACUACCACUACUACUACUACCGCAACUAUGCCAAAACAAACGAUCAUGUUCCCAAUUGGUGCUCAAUUAGAUAGAAAACAACAAAACUUGUGAAUAGAAUAGAAAGUGUGUUAUUUUAACUCGAAAGUCACCAUUAGUAACCACAAAUCUAACCUCCAAAAGUGCUCUGACAACAACAAAAAACAAUUGAAACAAAACAGAACUUAUCAAUAAAAAAAUGUGUACAUGAAAUUUUACACAGCGAAAAAACUAAAACACAUGAUCCUAGUUUUGCACCACCCUAACGUAAACGAACCGACCUUAACCCCCCGUAACCUAGAAAGAAAACAGUAAUCAACCCCAAUUUAGUGUGUAAAAUCACCCACCUUUGAUGUAAACAGUGUUUGCACUACCUCACCUAUCCGUCUGUCUGUCACUGUCACACACGCACACACAUAUUUACACGUAAACGUACAGAGAAAACCCUGUAAAAUGUUGCUUUUCGCUUUUACGCAAAAUAAAUCUUCCGUCCAUGUUAGCUCGCUUCACUGUGUAAAACCCCCUUUCGAUCGUGUAUUCUGUCUGUGUUAGUGUCCUCUAUCGUUUCCUUCCUGUCUAAAUUUUCGCCUUAUUUUUUAACCUGUACAUACACAGAAAAAUCAAUGCAAAUUAGUUUAAACAACGCAAAGUUUGAAAACAUUCCGAAAUCUGAAGCGAAAAACAGAUUUGGAACUUUUGGUUUUGCCAAUUUUUAUUUUGUGUUUACUACCGGUAUGCUUUGGAUAGUUUGUGUAGUUUUUUUUUCAGUGCUACAUUUUGUUUUUGUUUUCUUUUCCUUAGUUUGAAACAAAUUCGAUAAACUAACAACAACAAACUUGUAACUAACAGACUAACACUCCUCCCGAGUCCCGUGUCAGCUGUUAUACUAACACUGUUAUUCCGUCACCCUAAUCGCAUCUCUUUCGCUCAACUCUCGAGCAAAUUUAGACAACUUUCUUCGAGUCUGUCCCUAACUUGCUAGAAAAUAUCUAACUAGAUGCAUUGCUCGAAAUACUAGAUUUUU